This 829-nucleotide ribosomal RNA is filed under the name Gautieria morchelliformis var. dubia. RNAcentral describes it as "partial large subunit ribosomal RNA". It matches the Rfam family "Eukaryotic large subunit ribosomal RNA", at positions 87 to 898 of the family's 3401-position model. The record is from RNAcentral. Lineage: Eukaryota; Fungi; Basidiomycota; Agaricomycetes; Gomphales; Gomphaceae.
CGGCGAGUGAAGCGGGAUGAGCUCAAAUUUGUAAUCUGGCGGCCUUUGGCUGUCCGAGUUGUAGUCUGGAGAAGCGUUUUCCGCGUCGGACCGUGUACAAGUCCCUUGGAACAGGGCGUCGUAGAGGGUGAGAAUCCCGUCUUUGACACGGACUGCCGAUGCUUUGUGAUGCGCUCUCGAAGAGUCGAGUUGUUUGGGAAUGCAGCUCAAAACGGGUGGUAAAUUCCAUCUAAAGCUAAAUACGGGCGAAAGACCGAUAGCGAACAAGUACCGUGAGGGAAAGAUGAAAAGCACUUUGGAAAGAGAGUUAAACAGUACGUGAAAUUGUUGAAAGGGAAACGCUUGAAGUCAGUCGCGUCUCCUGGGACUCAGCCUUGCUUCUGCUCGGUGUACUUCCUGGGGUUGACGGGCCAGCAUCGAUUUUGACCGUCGGAGAAAGGCCUUGGGAACGUGGCACCCUUUGGGUGUGUUAUAGCCCUCGGUCGUAUGCGACGGUUGGGAUCGAGGACCGCAGCAUGCCUUUUUGGCCGGGGUUCGCCCACGUACGUGCUUAGGAUGCUGGCGUAAUGGCUUUAAGCGACCCGUCUUGAAACACGGACCAAGGAGUCUAACAUGCCUGCGAGUGUUUGGGUGGUAAACCCGGACGCGCAAUGAAAGUGAAACGUUGGGACCUCUGUCGUGGAGGGCACCGACGCCCGGACCAGACCUUUUGUGACGGUUCCGAGGUAGAGCAUGCAUGCUGGGACCCGAAAGAUGGUGAACUAUGCUUGAGUAGGGUGAAGCCAGAGGAAACUCUGGUGGAGGCUCGUAGCGAUUCUGACGUGCAAAU